UGCAGGCCUAACACCUGCAAGUCGAACGGUAACAGGAAGCAGCUUGCUGCUUCGCUGACGAGUGGCGGACGGGUGAGUAAUGUCUGGGAAACUGCCUGAUGGAGGGGGAUAACUACUGGAAACGGUAGCUAAUACCGCAUAACGUCGCAAGACCAAAGAGGGGGACCUUCGGGCCUCUUGCCAUCGGAUGUGCCCAGAUGGGAUUAGCUAGUAGGUGGGGUAACGGCUCACCUAGGCGACGAUCCCUAGCUGGUCUGAGAGGAUGACCAGCCACACUGGAACUGAGACACGGUCCAGACUCCUACGGGAGGCAGCAGUGGGGAAUAUUGCACAAUGGGCGCAAGCCUGAUGCAGCCAUGCCGCGUGUAUGAAGAAGGCCUUCGGGUUGUAAAGUACUUUCAGCGGGGAGGAAGGCGAUAAGGUUAAUAACCUUGUCGAUUGACGUUACCCGCAGAAGAAGCACCGGCUAACUCCGUGCCAGCAGCCGCGGUAAUACGGAGGGUGCAAGCGUUAAUCGGAAUUACUGGGCGUAAAGCGCACGCAGGCGGUCUGUCAAGUCGGAUGUGAAAUCCCCGGGCUCAACCUGGGAACUGCAUUCGAAACUGGCAGGCUAGAGUCUUGUAGAGGGGGGUAGAAUUCCAGGUGUAGCGGUGAAAUGCGUAGAGAUCUGGAGGAAUACCGGUGGCGAAGGCGGCCCCCUGGACAAAGACUGACGCUCAGGUGCGAAA
RNAcentral lists this ribosomal RNA (728 nucleotides) under Enterobacter hormaechei. RNAcentral describes it as "bacterial SSU rRNA". It matches the Rfam family "Bacterial small subunit ribosomal RNA", at positions 41 to 758 of the family's 1533-position model. Lineage: Bacteria; Pseudomonadati; Pseudomonadota; Gammaproteobacteria; Enterobacterales; Enterobacteriaceae. The record is from RNAcentral.